CCGAGUUAAUGAUUGGAGAAAUCCGAUCAGCUCUCACCCAUGUAUUGAUGUAUUGUUGCUUCGGCAGGGAGUCCUGUUGGUGAUUCUAACGAAUCGGUGACGGAUGAGCUGCCAAAGUACAAAGACACUAAGUUUUGAAGUCUGAGACUACAUUCAAUUAAAA
This 163-nucleotide unclassified non-coding RNA is filed under the name uncultured fungus. Its description in RNAcentral is "sequence contains ITS1, 5.8S rRNA gene". Lineage: Eukaryota; Fungi. The record is from RNAcentral.